Molecule: ribosomal RNA, 889 nt
Filed under: uncultured bacterium
Lineage: Bacteria
Description: bacterial SSU rRNA
Rfam family: Bacterial small subunit ribosomal RNA
Source: RNAcentral
AGAGUUUGAUCAUGGCUCAGGAUGAACGCUGGCGGCGUGCUUAAUACAUGCAAGUCGAACGCUUGGUCUUUAAUUGAUAUGAAGAGCUUGCUCUGAUUUGAUUUUAUCUGACAAAGAGUGGCGAACGGGUGAGUAACACGUGGGUAACUUACCUCUUAGCAGGGGAUAACAUUUGGAAACAAGUGCUAAUACCGUAUAACACUAACAACCGCAUGGUUGUUAGUUGAAAGAUGGUUCUGCUAUCACUAAGAGAUGGACCCGCGGUGCAUUAGCUAGUUGGUAAGGUAAUGGCUUACCAAGGCGAUGAUGCGUAGCCGAGUUGAGAGACUGAUCGGCCACAAUGGGACUGAGACACGGCCCAUACUCUUACGGGAGGCAGCAGUAGGGAAUCUUCCACAAUGGGCGCAAGCCUGAUGGAGCAACGCCGCGUGUGCGAUGAAGGGUUUCGGCUCGUAAAACACUGUUAUAAGAGAAGAACGACAUUGAGAGUAACUGUUCAGUGUGUGACGGUAUCUUAUCAGAAAGGAACGGCUAAAUACGUGCCAGCAGCCGCGGUAAUACGUAUGUUCCAAGCGUUAUCCGGAUUUAUUGGGCGUAAAGCGAGCGCAGACGGUUAUUUAAGUCUGAAGUGAAAGCCCUCAGCUCAACUGAGGAAGGGCUUUGGAAACUGGAUAACUUGAGUGCAGUAGAGGAAAGUGGAACUCCAUGUGUAGCGGUGAAAUGCGUAGAUAUAUGGAAGAACACCGGUGGCGAAAGCGGCUUUCUGGACUGUAACUGACGUUGAGGCUCGAAAGUGUGGGUAGCAAACAGGAUUAGAUACCCUGGUAGUCCACACCGUAAACGAUGAGUGCUAGAUGUUCGAGGGUUUCCGCCCUUGAGUGUCGCAGCU